UGUUCGUGUGGUUCUCAGUGCAGUGAACUUCAGGACCAGCUGGCUCAGGGGACUCUUCGCUGGGCUCUGCUCUUGGUAUUGCAGGGCGUUAUGGAGAAUCCUGUGGAACAAGCUGCCCUCGCAUUACUCCGCACUUAUGUUGCUGCUGUUUGUGUGAAUUCUUUCACCUGACACUCACGCAUCAAAUCAACACCUUGGUUUAUCCGGAUGAGUCAACCGAGUCUCAACGACGACCUGCCCAGCGGCUCACUACACUCCCACAGCAAACACAUUAAAUAAGGAUUUAAAAAAAAAAAAAAAAAACACACAAACUCCGCAGGCAGGUGUGUAGAGAACGAGUCAACCCAGCGGCUAAACGCAACCUCACACACGAACCGCUUCGAAUUUUAACUUUUGGUUGAAACUCACUCCUGUCGUUGGCUGCUGCAGAACACGAAGUAGUGACUACCAAAAACUUGUUUUUGUUUGCCCCAAGGAACAACCAGUUUAAUAAAAUUACUGGAUCUUCAGCAGUACAAUGAAGAAUGAUCCAGAAAACUACACAAGCAGGCAACAGUUUUAAAAAACAAAAUAAAAAAUAAAAAAACAGGAGUUUUGUCCUUUUUACAGAUAUGAAAAAAAAUCCUCAAAACAUAUUUCGUAGUACCUAUAAUCUGCACAACACUGCCCUCUUGUGGAUGCACGUAAUAUAACAACAAAUGCAGGUAAAGUCUUUGUAACGCCAGACAACUUUCUUGGGUCCGAUGUAAUCCAGACUGGGGCCCCUUUACCGAGUUCCAAUCUCAAAACCAAAAAACUAGAUUUUCACUUUUUUUUCUUCUUCCAACAAAUCUCAGCAAAUAAAAAACAGAUCUUAGAAAUUCACACGGUCUAAAAAAAUAACCCUAACCACCAGUGUGAAGAGCUCCAGAAGAACUGAGUGUGUAAAAACAACACAUCUGAAAGCAGAAAUAUUUUGCGUUUUUUUCUUUUUUAUUAUUUCAAACAUUUUGAACAAAUUGACUACCACCCCCACCCCCCCACCGAAGGGGGGGAAAAAAAAAAAAAAAAAAAACACCCCCAACCCCACAGUACUGGGUUUAUACUGCAUUAGUUUUAACAGUGCCGGGGUUUUAGAACAAAAACGAUUACAAAGAAAAGCAAACCUAGAACUCUGAGUUUAUAAUUCCACCUUUAAUAACGAAAAUAAAACAUUAAACAAAACUGCACUGGAGUGUGCACACAGGCAUCUAGAACAGUUGUACUCGAGAUCCAGUCUAAUCCAGUCCAGGUUUUUACUCCAAGCAGUUUCUAAUGUAGUUAACUGAAGCUGCUAAAAGGCAACGAACUCAUUUAGAACCUGGGGACCAGGACUGGAUCUCAAGGGACAGAGCUGAUAGCAUGGAUCUAUUAGAGCUCUGGUAAUACUUCACACCUGGAACCAAACACACAUGGGCAUCACAUACACCUCAGAAAGCCCAACAUCACAGUUUAAAAGCCUGGCAUAUUAGUGAACUCAUACCCAUUCGUUUAGGGCAAUGUGGGUCUUCUAACAAUGGCAUCAGAUACCAAAAUAAAAGCUUGCUUUUCAUCAAAACUGUUCAAAUUGUUUUUAUUUAGGUCAACAAUAAAUUGGUCUCUUUUAAAAAGAAAUUACAGUUUUAGCUUUACGUUGCUAUUAAAAUACACAAAACAAAAAGGCUACUGAACACUUAUUUGAAACAAUAUAAAUGAGUCUGGACAGUAAUUUUGACGGCUCUCUCUU
Molecule: long non-coding RNA, 1744 nt
Organism: Polyodon spathula (Mississippi paddlefish)
Lineage: Eukaryota; Metazoa; Chordata; Actinopteri; Acipenseriformes; Polyodontidae
Exons: 2
Source: RefSeq, a predicted model, not a curated record